UUUGGUUUCCUCGGAAUUUCCUCGGAAUAUACCGACGGAAUUUCGAGGAAAUAUCAUUCCGUCGGAAUAUUCUUAUGGAAUUCCGAGGAAAAUUGUAUUCCUCGGAAAAAAACCGAUGAAUUCCGAGGAAAUAUUAUAGACGUUAGAGAGCCGUUGGAGAGCUGUUGGGGGAUUUUAAAAAUUCUGAGGAAAUUCCGACGAACUAGCCGUUGGCAUCGGAAAUCCGUCGGAAUUUCCUCGGUCUGUCGGAAGGAUUUCAACUAUAAAUACAAGCACCCCUCUUCCUCUUCAUUCACUCCAUAUCUUCAUCCUCCCUCUCACUCUCUUUUCACACGAAUUUGAUUCAUAAAAAACAUGUCUUCUUCAAAUUAUUUUCGUUCUUGGAUCGAUCGACCUCAUUUGGAUCCGAACACGAGAUUGCUUACGGAAGAAUACCAACGAGGUAUAACCGAAUUCAUGGGGUUAGUUCACCGACAACCGGAAGCAAAAACAGGUAUGUUAAGAUGUCCUUGCUCUAAUUGUAAAAAUAAAAAGGUUAUUAAAGAGUGGGAUGUUUGGACUCAUCUAUAUUUGAGUGGGUUUACACGAAGUUACAAAAUUUGGUAUCAUCAUGGGGAAACUGAUUAUGAACAUGGUAGUACUAGCGAACCUCAGCCAGCGGUUAGAUUAGAAGAACCAAUUAGAACGGAUGUAGAUUAUGGUGUAGGUACUGAGCAGAUGGUAAAUGAUCAUUUUAGAGGGGAAGAUUUACCCAAUGCAGAAGCUAUGAGAUUUUAUGAUAUGUUGGAUGCUGGAAAGCAACCAUUGUACGAAGGUUGCAGAGAUGGUCAUUCAGCUUUAUCAUCUGCUACAAGAUUGAUGGGCAUUAAAACAAAUUAUAAUUUGGCUGAAGACUGUGUGGAUGCGAUUGCUGAUUUUGUAAAAGGUAUUCUACCCGAGGAUAAUGUAGCUCCUGGUUCAUACUACGAGGUUCAGAAACUCGUAGCUGGUCUUGGUUUAUCGUAUCAGGUAAUAGAUGUAUGCAGCGACAACUGCAUGAUUUAUUGGAGGGCGGAUGAACAGCGGGUUACAUGCAAAUUUUGUGGAAAGCCUCGUUAUAAAGAUACGAGUGGAAGAGUUCCAGUGCCAUAUAAAAGGAUGUGGUAUUUACCUUUGACGGAAAGGUUGCAGAGGUUGUAUCUGUCUGAACGCACAGCGCAACCAAUGAGAUGGCAUGCGGAGCACUCAACAGAUGGUGAGAUCAGACAUCCUUCAGAUGCAAAAGCGUGGAAGCAUUUCCAAUCAAAGUAUCCCGACUUUGCGUAUGAGAGAAGAAAUGUCUACCUUGGAUUAUGUACUGAUGGUUUCAGUCCGUUUGGCAAGAGUGGAAGACAGUAUUCUCUAUGGCCCGUCAUUCUUACACCAUACAACCUCCCCCCAAACUUGUGCUUGCGACGAGAGUUUUUGUUUCUCUCGAUUCUCGUUCCCGGACCAGAGCAUCCUAAGAGAUCACUUGAUGUGUUUCUUCAGCCACUAAUAUAUGAGUUGCAACAACUAUGGGCUCAAGGUGCUGAAACAUACGAUGUUUCGUGUAAAGAAAACUUUCAAAUGCGGGCAGUACUAAUGUGGACAAUAAGUGAUUUUCCAGCAUAUGGUAUGUUAUCUGGAUGGACAACGCAUGGAAGGCUAUCAUGUCCAUAUUGUCAAGAUAACACUGAUGCUUUCCAACUAAAACACGGAAGGAAAACGUGUUGGUUUGACUGUCAUAGGAGAUUUCUACCACUUGAUCAUCCAUAUCGUAGGAGUAGGAAUUUGUUUACGAAGAACAAGAGGGUGUUUGACAGUCCACCUCAGAAAAUUUGUGGGAAAGAUUUGAAGAUAAAACUAAGAGAUGUUGGUGCAGAAAGGACGCCAGAAGUCGGUGGACAUGAGCGUUUUCCGGUAGAUGCUGUUGGAGAACUACAUAACUGGCACAAAAAANNNNNNNNNNNNNNNNNNNNNNNNNNNNNNNNNNNNNNNNNNNNNNNNNNNNNNNNNNNNNNNNNNNNNNNNNNNNNNNNNNNNNNNNNNNNNNNNNNNNNNNNNNNNNNNNNNNNNNNNNNNNNNNNNNNNNNNNNNNNNNNNNNNNNNNNNNNNNNNNNNNNNNNNNNNNNNNNNNNNNNNNNNNNNNNNNNNNNNNNNNNNNNNNNNNNNNNNNNNNNNNNNNNNNNNNNNNNNNNNNNNNNNNNNNNNNNNNNNNNNNNNNNNNNNNNNNNNNNNNNNNNNNNNNNNNNNNNNNNNNNNNNNNNNNNNNNNNNNNNNNNNNNNNNNNNNNNNNNNNNNNNNNNNNNNNNNNNNNNNNNNNNNNNNNNNNNNNNNNNNNNNNNNNNNNNNNNNNNUAAGGUUCAACCGAUCCGGGAACGGGAUCAGCGCAUGGAUCAACCGUAUGAUGUACUCGGCCCUCGACAGUGGACAUCCGACUUUCACUCACUUCCCAACCGACAAGCAGGUUCUGUGGUUUCGUCAGUUUGCGGUAAGUAUUCUAAUUUUUUACUUAUAUUUUUAAUCUUUAAUAUAAAUUUUCUACUAAUUGUGUUUUUUUUUCAGCAAGAGUUCAACUGGAAUUCCGAUGAGACGCUCUUUAUCUAUCACCACUUCGUCCAUAAAGUAAUGGACAACUAUGGGAAGCAGAUCCACGAGUGGAAGAAGAAGUGGGAAAUCAAUAAGGUUCGAUUUAAUUUAUUAAACAAUUUUUUAAUUUAUUAAACUAUUUUUUAAUUUAUUAAACUUUUUCUUUUUUUUUUAAUUAAAAGGUCCCAAAGUCGAUGAACGACACGGUCUGGAAGGAGUUGUGUGCGCAUUGGGAUAAGGAAGAGACGAAAGAAACUUCUUCCACCAACUCCAACAACCGCAGGAGCGACCGUAAAGGGAAGGGCAUCUACAAGCAUAACUUGGGUGCUCAAUCUAUUGCCACUCUGGCGGAUCGCAUGGUAAGUUCAACCGCUUUUUCUUCAAUUAUUUAAGUUUCGGAAUUUUAUUUUUUAUGAAUUUUUUCAAAUUUCUAAUGUUUGUUUAAUUUAUUUUUUUUCAAGGCGGAAGAAAAUGAGGGCGACCCGGUUGAUGAUUUCGCCCUAAUGAAAAGGGCGUAUACCAACAAGAAGACCGGCCAGAUUGAUGAUGGUCUUGUGAGGGACGUGGUCGACCUGGUCCAAACUCAGGUGUAUGACGAAGUGUCUCAGCUUCAAACCGAUGAUGACGAUUCGACGGCUUCGACCAACUUGUCCCGGGUUCGAAUCAACGAAAUCGUUGAAUCGGUAAGUUUUUUUUUAAAAGUUCAAUUUAAUUAUUUUUUGAUUUUUAUUUUAUCAUCAAUUUAUAUUAUCUAAAUUUGGUUAUUUAUAUUUCAGUCGGUUCCAAAGAAAAAGGGACGUUUGGUCGGUUUGGGUCGUCGCUCCCGGUCGGCUGCUCCUUCUUCUGCACCACCGCCAUAUGUUGAUCCGGAAGUUCUUACGGCUCAGCUGAAGGACAAGGAUGAUCGGAUAUCUGCGUUGGAGACCCAGAUGGCAGCUCAACAGGCGGGCUAUGAGACCCAGAAGAGGCUCAACGAGCAGAUGAUGGAGAUGAUGAAGAGGAUGUACCCGAACGAGGUGUUCCCGAACAUCCAAGACCCGUAGUUUUUUUUUUUUUUUACCAAAAACUCUGAAUGUUUUAUUUAACUUUGAAUAUUAUCUACUAUGUUUUAUUUAAUGUUUUAUUCAAUUUUAAUUUUAAUUUUAAAUUUUUAAAUUUAAAUUUUAAAAAUUUUAAUUUUUUUUAAAAAAAUAAAUUUUUUAAAAAAAUAAAUUUUUUAAAAAAAUGAAUUUUUUCAAAAUUCCGAGGGAAAGCAGUUCCUCGGAAAUUUCUGAGGAACUUAUUUCCCUCGGAAUUUUCCGAGGGACUGAAACUCCUCGGAAUUUUCCGAGGGAAGAAAGUUCCUCGGAAUUUUCUGAGGGACAGAAGUUCCUCGGAAUUUCCCGAUAAACAUUCCGAGGAAUAUUUCGUCGAAACUUCCGAGGAUUGAACCAUCGGAAUUCCAUCGAAAUAUUCCGAGGAAGGCGUCCCUCGGUAUAUUCCGAGGAACCUUCCGACGAACUUUGUGUCCUCGGAGUUUCCUCGGAAUUCCGUCGGAAAUUUCCGACGGAAUUCCGAGGAAAUAUGAAUUUCCGAGGAGAUAUUUCCGAGGACUUUUUUCGUCGGUAUGUCCUCGGAAUAGCGUUAUUCCGACGACAUACCGACGAUUUUUUCCCUCAGUAUGCCGAUGUUUUCUUGUAGUGUUGAGUACUGUGACUACUUUAUUAUUUUCCAAUUUUUUUAUAAAAACUGAUGAGUUGAUAGCAGUAUCAUGUUUUAACAUUGUUACGACCUAUGAGUUAUUACAAUUUUGCUUUCUAUUGUGUUCACCAAUCAUAAUGAUAGUCGAUUAUUCAUAGAAUAUCAGCAAAUUUUAAGGAUGUUUUAUUGCUAGUUGGUCACUGAAUCACGUUUUCUUUUGUACUUUUGUUUGUCGAGCCUAAGAGAAGAAGCCACCAUCAAGAAUAAACAAAAACAAACCCUGUGGAAUUAAGAAAAGUCAACCAUCGGGAGCAGGAAACAGAGCUAGGAAGAAGAAACAAGAAGCAUACAUGUACUCAAUAAACGGUUACUCAAUAAACGGUUCUAUGUUUUUUUUUUUGAUAAGUAAAAGGUUCUAUGUUCAAGUAUGUGAAAAAAGUUAGUACUGAAUUUGGGAGUUCACGCUGCUCAAGGAGAAGAAGAAAAAGACGAUUACAAAGAAAACGGAGAUAAAGAUGUCGAUGAUAAUGGUCAUAAUAGUGAACUUGAGAAUUCAGAUGAUGUAAAGAGGAUCAUCAAGAUGAAACUGAAAAUCAAGAUGAUUAUGAGAAUCAAGAUGAAGAGAAGGAACAACAAAAGAAAGAUAUGUCUGAUCCAGGAAACUGGAACAUGUUGAUAUAUGAUAAGACUAUCAAGUCAGUAUCAGUUCCCGAAAGACAAUAUUGGUAGGCCUUUUUCGCAUGCAUUCUACACGAGAGAUAUGGUUAAUGGAGAAAAAAAAGAUAAGCAGUGGUUGAUAUAUUCAAAAGCUUUGGAUAAAGCUUUUUUUUCUGCUGCAAGUUGUUCAGACAUGAAAGCAGUGGUGGAAACUUGGUAACCGCAUGAUUUAAUAAUUGGAGAAACUUUGCAAAAAGUCUGAAAGAACACGGAAUUUCUCAUGAUCUUGUAUAUGCAUGACACACUGGAAGGAGUUGGAGUUGAGAUUACAAAAAAAAAAUCAAACAAUUGAUAAGCAUGUUCAGAAGAAUUAAAUAGGGAGAAAAGCCAUUGGAGAGAAGUAUUGUUAAGAAUAUUUGCAAUGGUGAAAACUCUAGCUCAAAGGAAUCUGGCAUUUCGUGGAGAAUAUGAAAAACUUGGUGAAGCAAACAAUGAAAUUUUUUUGGGUCUUAUUUAGAUGAUUGCGGAGUUUGAUGCAUUGAUGAGAGAGCAUGUUAGGUGAAUUGAGAAAAAAAGGAAUAUAUGUGCAUUAUCUUGGUCACAAGAUUCAGAAUGAGAUGAUUGAAAUGCUUGCUAAGGAGAUCAAAGUUAUGAUCAUAAAGAAGAUCCAUGAUUCAAAGUAUUUCUCCAUAAUUCUUGAUUGUACUCCAGAUAUUAGUCACAAAGAGCAAAUGACUUUGGUUAUCAGAUGUGUGGAUGUUUCUAGUUUCUACGAUGUCAACGAAGGUUGAGAAAUUCUUUUUGAGAUUUUUGAUUGUCAAAGAUAAAUCAGGAGAAGGGUUUUUUACUUUCCUCCAAGAUGCAUUGGUUGAGCUAGAGUUAGACACUGGUGAUGUGAGAAGGUAAGGAUAUGACAAUGGAUCUAAUAUAAGGGAAAGAAUAAAGGAUUUCAGAAAAGGUUGUUGGAUAUUAAUCCAAGGGCAUUCUUCACCCCAUGUAGUUGUUAUAGUCUCAAUCUUGUGUUAUGUGAUAUAGCAUCUUCUUCCCCAAAAGCUGUGUCCUUUUUUGGAAUCGUUCAACGAAUAUAUAUAUAUAUAUAUAUAUAUAUUUCUUAUUUGCUUCCUCGACAAACAGAUGGGACAUACUGACAAAUAUGGUUAAAGGAUUAACCCUUAAAUCUUUGUCUCAGACACGUUGGGAAAUUCAUGUUGAAAGUGUCAAGCAAUACGGUUUCAGGCCUUAGAAAUCAUAGAAGUGUUACUUUGUUUGGCUGAAAGUACUUACAAUCCAGCAACACGAAGCAGCACUGAAUCUCUUGCUUUAAGUGAAACACAUGGGAUUGGAGGUUUUGAGUUUUUGUUUGGUAUGGUUGUUUGAUAUGACCUUAUUUUUGUUCUCAACACUGUAAGCAAGAGCUUGCAAUCAGAAAAUAUUGAUAUUAAUGCUGCAAUUCAGCAACUGAAAGGUCUUGUGUCAUAUUUUCAAAAAUAUCGGGAGACUGGGUUUGAGGAAGCAAAAGCUAAGGCUAGAAAAAUUGCAGCAGAUAUGGAAGCUGAAUUUCCUAUGAAACAAAAGCGUAUUAUUAAGAGAAAAAGCACUAUGAUGAAGACAUAGAGAUAGUUGAUGACAAUGUGCUACUAUCACUAGAAGAGGGUUCCAGGAUUGAGUACUACAACACACUCAUGGACCAAGCUCUAGUUUCUCUUCAGUCAAGAUUUGAACAAUUCCAAAGGUAUGAACAAACUUUUGGAUUUUUGUUUGAUUUUAAAAAAACUAACAGCCGCAAGUGAGGAGACUUUGAGUGCAUAUCAUGUUUGAAUCUAGAAGCUUUUUUGAAGAAUGGUAUGCAUUCAGACAUUGUUGGUGAAGAUUUGUUUAUGGAACUGAAGAUUCUCCGAGAAACAAUACCAUUGGAAGUUCGAAAGCCUAUAGAGGUUCUUGAUUUUUUGAAGAAAAUGGAGGAUUGCUAUCAGAACAUAUAAGUUGCUUAUCGUAUAUUAUUGACUAUUCUGGUAUCGGUUACAACAGCUGAAAGAAGUUUAUCGAAGUUGAAACUGAUAAAAAAUUAUUUGCAGUCUGCAUGUCACAAGAGAGAUUAAAUGGAUUAGCUAUGUUAUCAAUUGAGACGGAUAUGAUUGAAAGACUUGACUACACGAGUUUAAUGGAUGAUUUUGCAGGAAAGAAUACAAGAAGAUCAAUAUUUCAGCAAUAAGUAUUUUUAAUUCUGUUACUUUCGUUUUUCUUUAUAAACAUUUUGCGAAUUUCGAUUGUUUUAUGGAAGUUUGAUUUUUAGUUACUCUUGCUAUAUGAUUUUGAAUUACAUAUGUAAGCGCAUAGUUUUUUGAACUGGCUUAGGGUGUUAUAGAGUUUGGACCGGCACUGCCAGCACAUCUAAAUAAUUUAAGAGCCCUAACUGUAAUGCAUUAUUUUUACAGUAUUUAGCCAUGUUCGGAAUCGCGCUAGGCGUGAGUCGGGCGGUUGGUCUAGGCCUAGCGAGUUAUAAGAAAAUCGGAGAUUAAUCAGGGAUUACUUUUGAGUAUUUUUUCGAUUUUUUUGAUAGUUUGUGUAUAAUAAAGAAUGAUUUACAAAGAAAGUAAGGAAAGUUGACGUGGUGUAGUGGUUUUGUUGCUUCUUUAACAUUCAGGAGAUCCGGAGUUUGAUAUCCCUGGUGCGUUUUAUUUUUAUUUUUGUUUUUAACUCAUUAAUGGCAUAAUCGUAAACAUCUCUUCAUCUUCUUUGUUGUAUCUUCCCUAAAUUGCAGCCGUUUUCUCAUCUUCUCCAACACAAAUCAACUUUUUUAAACGAUUUCCUAUGAUUUAACGACACUUCUUUGUUCCUAGCACUGUAUUAUGAUGGAUUCGUGAAGAAAUUAUCAUUUUUGAACUUGAAAAUGGCAUAAUAUGAGGUGUAUUUUUUUAGGCGAGUUUUUGGCCGAACAGAGCUGAAUCGCGGCGGAGCUCCGAUGCCGAGCGCUGCACCGGCGUGUAAUCGGCCACUCCGGCCAUGUUUUAGAACCUGUGUAUUUAGAGUUAACUUAGAGCUGGGUUAAAAAAAUUAAGGGUUUUGAUAGGGUUUGGACCCUACUAGAUUAAAAAAAUUGAUUGUUCGGCAAACAACAGUGAUUGGUACAAUAUUAAAACUUCAAAAAUGAAUUUUCUUUACAAAACGGUGAAUCGUAAAAAUAAAAUUUCGUCGAAAUAAAAAAAAAAGUUUUUCUGCCAAAUCGAAUUUUUCUACCAAAAGGAGUUUUUUCCACCGAAUCUGAAAAGUGAGUUUUUCUGUUAAAACCAAAAACCAAGUUUUCUCGCCAAAAUCAUAAAAUUGAUUUUUUCCACUAAAACCAUAUAAUCAAGUUUUUUUCCCCAAAACUGUAAAAUUGAUUCUCCCCGCCAAAUCCGUAAAAUUGGAUUUUUUUGCCAAAACGAGUUUUCUCGUCAAAAUUGUAAAAAUAAGUUUUCCGCCAAAAUGAGUUUCCCCGCCAAAAAUGUAAAAAUAAGAUUAUUCGCCAUAGCCGCAAAAAUUAUAUUAUCUUAUAUAUUAAGAUAAAUCAAAGAAAAUUGGUUUUUGAUUAAAAUAUUUCUUGUUUUCAAUCUAAAUUUUUGUGAUAAAGGCAAAACAACUUAUUUUGUGAUUUUGGUAAAAAUAAUCAAUUUUAAUGGGAAAACUCUAUAUUGUGGUUUUCGCAAGAAAACUCAUUUUUUUUUGUUUUGGCGGAAAAUAUCGUUUUUACAGUUUUGGUAGAAAAACUCAAUUUGCGGAUUUGACGGAAAAAAUCAUUUGUGAAAUUUUGGCUGAAAAACUCAAUUUUAGAGUUUUGACAUAAAUUUUUUUUAUGGUUUUGCGGAAAAUUCAAUUUUUUUUUGGCGAGAAGUCUGGUUUUCCGGUUUUGGUGGGAAAUCUCGUUUUGACGUGAAAUCUCGUUUUUGCGGUUUUGCGGGGAAAACUUGUUUUGAUGAUUAAAUGUAUUCGCAUUUCAAAAAAUAAAUGGUUUAAAAUGGUUGAAAAGGAUUCUUAUAUAUUAACAUAAAUAAAAAAAAUUGGUUUUCAACCAUUUAAACCCUUUAUUUUUUGAAAUGUGAAUACAUUUAAUAUAAUCUCUUAUAAAAUAAUCCAACUUAAGUUAAAUUUAAUAUAAAAUCCUUUUCAACCGUUUCAACCAUUUUGAAAUGUGAAUACAUUUAAUAUAAUCUAUUAUAAAAUAAUCCAACUUAACCAUGCAUGAAAAAAAAAUCCAAGUAACCAUGCAUGAAACGAAAAAAAUCCAAUAAUCCAACUUAAUAAUGCUCUCCACGUGGUGUAACAAUUUAGGGCCGAGCAUAAAUUACAUAAGGUUGGGCUGGGCUAAGAACACCCGUAAUGGGAGUCGUUAAGGAAGAAUCUUUAGAAAAAAAAUAAUUAAAUAAUCCAUAGAUCUUACCAAAAGUUAUAGAUUUAAUCCUUAAAAUUUCUAAAUAAUGAUUCUUUCUUAGUAAAUCCUUACACUAUUUGCGGGUCUCCACAACACGUGGCGACACGUGAUUAGUUGAUAUAUUUUUUCUUAUCCAAAAAGAAAAGAAAAUAAUACUUAAAAAAUUAAAAUAUACCUUUUUUUAAAAAAAUUCUUUGGAUAGGUGCUCUAACAUCCCUACAUGUGUCUGUCAGAGGACAUCACGUCCAUGUGUACCUCAUGCGAAUUGGAUCUAGACUGUGCAUGACACGUGAACUGAAAACAAUAGAAACAAUACCCAGCCUUUUCAAGUUACGGAAAAUCAAAGACGGUCAUCAUUUUCUAGCUCUCUUCUGUGCCAUUUUGCAUACGUGCUGGAUAAGCGUCCAUCUUAUUCCAAAUUUCGUAUUAGCUGUCAAGGACAUGUGAACUGGUUGUGGUCCAACAAUUAACAAGUAUGAUCCUUGAUUCCUUGUCAUUUUUCUGUUGCUUUGUUUGGUGACACAAAUCCAUAGUUACUUGGAUUUUUUCAUCUCAUGCAUGGCUGCUUGGAUUUUUUCGUUUCAUGCACGGUUACUUGGAUUAUUAUUAAGUUGUUACACCACGUGGAGAGCAUUUUCUUUUUUGAAAAUAAUGAUAUGUAUUUGCCGCGGUUCGAGUUAUCCCAUACAUAUAACAAACUGGGCAUUUCACUAACGUUUAUAUAUAUAGGGAGUAGCACUGCCCCAUGUCAAAUACUAUCAUUCUCACUCACAGCUGCCUUCCAACAUUAUAAGGUCUCUUUCUAUCUCUCUCUCGUACACACAUUAAUUUUAGCUUUCUUGAUUUUUCUGUAUAUCCCGAUUAAAACGAGGUCGGGUUUGGAUAUAAGAGCAUGAUUAACCCGGUUUUUAGGGUGGAGUUCUUAACUCAUGAUUUGAUAUUUUUUGUACUUUUUUUUAAUACUUUUCAGCUAAGAGCUGGCUUUUAUAUCUCUUAUUUAAGAGACGAUUCUUAGUUUUUCUUAGUUAAAAGCUAAGAAUCCCAUCCUAAGAACCUGGGUUAAUCAUGGUCUAAGACUAUCCACGAAAAUACAGAAAUCUUUGAAAAUACACAUUUAAAAGAUAAAGAAAGAAGAACCCUAUCCUAAGAACCUGGAUUAAUCAUGGUCUAAGACUAUGCACGAAAAUACAGAGAUCUUUGAAAAUACACAUUUAAAAGACAAAGAAAGGAGUACUAAAUUGAAAUUCUUUUUUUUUAAAGACUAGCAACAAACAAAAAAGAGUAUUUAAAAAGGAAUUCCAAGAAUUUAUGAACAAAUCAUUUUGUGGCUAUGUUGGUGUCAAACUAUUGUCCCAAAAAAAAUAUUAUAUUUUUUAAUUUUUUUAACAAAUAUUUGUGGUCUAUAUUUUUUGUUCCUUUAUUUCAUCUUUUUCUCCUCGGUAUAUUAUAAUUUUUUUUUCUUUUUCUGAUGCCUAUCAAUUUUUAGAAAUCGUACGUCUUCAUCCAUAUAUAUAUAUUGUAGUUUUUCAUCAGUUUCUUAAAGAAACAAACAUAUGGUUUUGGUUUCACACGAUAAUGAAUUGUCAUCGAACGGAUGAAAAGUUGAAUUUUAACCAUCGAAAGUAAAUAUAAUAUGUGUACUAUUUAUUGAUCUGAGUUAGUUUGAUCCUGAGAAGUUAAGACUACGUAGUUGCAUUGGCGGAGCUACGUUAGUGGAGAGGGGGGCAGCUGCCCCCAGCAAGUUUAAAUAUUUAUGAAUUUUGUUAAAUAAUUAGCCAAAUAUUCAUUGGAUCAGUUGGUGCUGCCCCCAUAAAAAUUUCAUCUCUGCCCCCAACACUUCUUGGUUCGAGUGUCGCCUCUCACCAUUUCAGUUUUGUUUUCAUUAAAAAAUCAUUUUUAUUAGUUAUAACAAACUACUUAUUUCCAAUUUCCUUCCUAUAUUAGUGCUUCACGUAUCUAUAACAGAGAAUUUAAGACAUUUUUUGUUUCCAUAUUUUUUAUUUACAGAGAUUGUUCAAUAAUAUUUUAUAUACUUUUCAGUUGGUUAAUUAUUUUUAGAGUAUAAUUAGUUUUUUAAUAAUUUCUCUAUUUGUGUGUUUACCUUAUUUUGGUUGGUCUUAACAAAAAAAUAUACUUUAUAUAGAAAAUAGUAAAGUUAUAUGUUAAAUCAUAUAAAUAAUAAACAUAUUUCAUGUUAAAGAUGCUAACAAUAUAAAAUUUGUAAUAACAAUUUAAUAUUUAUAUAUAUAUAUAAUUAUUUAAAUAUUAUUAUAAUAAAUAUUUUAAUUAAAUUAUUUUCCCAGUAAAAAAAAAAUUCUAGUUCCGCCACUGUUUAGUUGUGUUUUUUUUACUAUAUCUUCCAGUGUAUAAACUUCUUUUUGGAUAUAUAUAAUCUUUAAUACAAUUCUCGUCAACAGAUAUCUGACGGAUCUUUAAGGCCAAAAUGUUUUGGGAUGACGGAACGCACGCGAAGGUGAACAGAGUCCAGCUUACGUUUGAUGACGUCAUCAGAUCUAUCGAGGUUGAAUACGAGGGCACCAACGUUCAGCCCCAGCGUCGUGGCACCGUUGGCACCAACUCUGACGAAGUUAGUAAACAGUGUUAAUAUUUUUGUAUUAUGAUUAUUCUGAACUCUGAGAAGUAUAAAAGAUUAUUAAACAUUAUUUUUUAUAUCUAUGAAAGAUUAUUAGAGCAUGUUUAUUGCAGUAGUUAAGUUUAACUAGGUUGCUUAGGAUAUUUUAUAAUUAAAAGAAAAGAAAAAAGGAAAUGAAGAGAAGGGGUGUUACUUAAUUAAGCACUAGAAGAGUCGUUGCUUCUGUUGCUUUUCUUUUUUUGUUUUUAUCUUUCUCUCUUUCUGUUUCUGUUCUUUCUAGCCCACUUAUUUUUUUUUGGCUGUAACCCACUUAAGAGAUUCUUAAAAGAUUUUAGCAAUAAACAUGCUUUAAACACUAUUUUUCUGUUAAUUACAGUUUUGUUUUUUGGCAGUUUACACUGAGCUCAGACGAGUUCAUAACGCGUGUGUCUGGUUACUACCGAACGACUUUCUCCGGAGACGUUAUAACGGCGUUAUUGUUUAGGACGAACAAGAAGACCUAUGGGCCUUAUGGAAACCUAACACGAAACUUCUUUUCUGCUGACGCACCGAGAAACAACCAAAUCGCUGGAUUUCUAGGAAAUAGUGGAAGUGCACUCAACUCCAUCAACGUUCAUUUUGCUCCCAUUCCUCCCCCUGGUAGCAUUAAACCAAAACCUGCUGGCCCCGGAACAGGCGACGCUGGAAGCGGUCAACCUGUUAGCCCAGGACCCGGCGAUGCGGGAGGUGGUCCAAAACCUGGUGGUCCUGGAACCGGUGAAAACGGAGCCGGCACUAAACCUAGUGGUCCCGGAACCGGUGAAAACGGAGCCGGCACUAAACCUGGUGACCUUGGAACCGGGGCAGAUGGAGAAGGUACUAAACCUGGUGGCUCUGGAACCGGCGAAGACGGAGCCGGUACUAAACCUGGUGGUCCUGGAACCGGUGAAAACGGAGCCGGCACUAAACCUAGUGGUCCCGGAACCGGUGAAAACGGAGCCGGCACUAAACCUGGUGACCUUGGAACCGGGGCAGAUGGAGAAGGUACUAAACCUGGUGGCUCUGGAACCGACGAAGACGGAGCCGGUACUAAACCUGGUGGCCUUGAGACAGGAGAAGACGGAGCUGGUACUAAACCUGUUGGCUCUGGAACUGGCAACGAUGGAGGCGGUCCUAGACCUGUUAUCCCUGGAAAGAUGGGACCCCUUGGUGGUGACAAGGGAAAUGAAUUCGACGAUGUUGGUUUUGAUGGUGUGAAGAAAAUAACUGUGGGAGCAGAUGAAUUCAGUAUAACUUAUAUCAAGAUCGAAUA
This 13218-nucleotide long non-coding RNA is filed under the name Brassica napus (rape). Its description in RNAcentral is "long non-coding RNA (BNAP_LNC004284)". Lineage: Eukaryota; Viridiplantae; Streptophyta; Magnoliopsida; Brassicales; Brassicaceae. The record is from RNAcentral.